RNAcentral lists this ribosomal RNA (637 nucleotides) under uncultured bacterium. Its description in RNAcentral is "bacterial SSU rRNA". The stretch from base 1 to 542 matches the Rfam family "Bacterial small subunit ribosomal RNA", at positions 338 to 873 of the family's 1533-position model. The record is from RNAcentral.
CCUACGGGAGGCAGCAGUGGGGAAUUUUGGACAAUGGGCGCAAGCCUGAUCCAGCAAUGCCGCGUGAGUGAAGAAGGCCUUCGGGUUGUAAAGCUCUUUUGUCAGGGAAGAAACGGUCUACUCUAAUACAGUGGGCUAAUGACGGUACCUGAAGAAUAAGCACCGGCUAACUACGUGCCAGCAGCCGCGGUAAUACGUAGGGUGCAAGCGUUAAUCGGAAUUACUGGGCGUAAAGCGUGCGCAGGCGGUUAUAUAAGUCAGAUGUGAAAUCCCCGGGCUCAACCUGGGAACUGCAUUUGAGACUGUAUGGCUAGAGUGUGUCAGAGGGGGGUAGAAUUCCACGUGUAGCAGUGAAAUGCGUAGAUAUGUGGAGGAAUACCGAUGGCGAAGGCAGCCCCCUGGGAUAACACUGACGCUCAUGCACGAAAGCGUGGGGAGCAAACAGGAUUAGAUACCCUGGUAGUCCACGCCCUAAACGAUGUCUACUAGUUGUCGGGACUUAAUUGUCUUGGUAACGCAGCUAACGCGUGAAGUAGACCGCCUGGGGGAGGUACGGUCGCGAGAAGUUAAAACGUUAAAAGGUAAAGUUAGUACGGCGUGAGACGUGACCGACGGACGACGACGAGGGAGGAGGNGG